UUUCUUACUAGUUUGCUUUUAUUUCUUGGUACAGAUAUUCUGAGCACCCCAAAGAAGCAUAACUCUCAACCAGUGGUUAAAACUCUUAGACCUCCCCCCACCCAUCCUGAAAGCUGUUCCACCAAGGUAAACCCCAUUGAAAUCAGUGAGGCUCUAGACACAUAGUGCAACUUGCAGGAUUGUAGCCAUGUUUCAUUUCCAGAUUAGUAAAGGAGAAAGACCUCUACAACUGAAAAGAAAUUUGAAUGGCUCCUUUGUGAACUACUUAAAGGGAUGUAUUCUGGUAUCUGGUUGCCUCAGACACACACCAAUGGGAUUCGAGUUUCCUCUUAAAUAAGAUCAAAUGCAUUAGUGCAUAUCUCAAGGCAUUGGCCACUGUGAUUUUAUUAAUUUUCUUACAUUUUAAUCCAAAAGAAAUUCAACACCAAAAGGGCCCAAUCCAAUGCUCCAGGAGCCCUGGAGCUACACUGAGAAACACAAUAUAGGAACCGCAAAAUAUCAGUCACCCAGAGCAGCAGCACCUUUUCCUUCCACCCAACUCUACAUCAUUUAAUCACUAGACAUAUGACCUAUACAGCUUGAAAUUCCAUUUCACUUUCUCACAAGUGAAGAGUUCCUUUGAAGAUUUGACCCCACUAAGAUCUGAUCAGGAGGCUGCCUGCUAACAUCAAAGGAAGUGGUGGAAAUCCAAGUGGGAUAGCUGAAACAAAGUACCGGGGAAGAGUUAAAGCUUAAACUCUGAAACGGAGAAGGAGAGUUUUCAGUGAAACAGACUGUAACCUGUCCCCAGAAGAGUGGAGGUAGCAGGUAUAAAUUGGGCUGACCUGUCUUGAGGUCAAUGCUAAACUUAGGUAAAACAACAUGUAUUUUGUUAUGUUAAACCCUUUGCUUUCUGAUUGCU
This is a long non-coding RNA of Dermochelys coriacea (leatherback sea turtle), 901 nucleotides long. RefSeq lists it as uncharacterized. The record is from RefSeq and is a predicted model, not a curated record. The transcript is spliced from 3 exons. NCBI's taxonomy places the organism in Eukaryota, Metazoa, Chordata, Testudines, Dermochelyidae.